Molecule: long non-coding RNA, 744 nt
Filed under: Capra hircus (goat)
Lineage: Eukaryota; Metazoa; Chordata; Mammalia; Artiodactyla; Bovidae
Description: lncRNA (ENSCHIG00000000539.1)
Source: RNAcentral
GAGUCUUCUGCAGCUGUGUCCACCAAGAAGGCCACAUUCCUGGACUGACCUCCACUUAAUUACUCUGAUCAACAAAGCCCCAGACUUUGUCCUCAAAAGUGGAGAGAGUAUUUUCUGAUAUGAAAAGUAGUUUUGCCUCCUCACCUAUCCUAGGCCAGCCGCUGCUGUGGGCUCCACCCUCGGAAGUUCCUUGGAGUCUCCUCUUCUUGAGCAAACCAUCUUCUGGAACUGCUCCCGAAUACAAGUUAGCUGGAGAGUAGAUACAGAAGCUGGAGCAGGAGCAGCCACCCUGGAACUUCAGGCUACUAUGGACAGAGUCACAUGAUGAAAUGAGUCCUUAAUGGCAUGGAGUGCUAUACCUGCUCUGGACCAACCUCCAGACUAUAUAUGAGAGAGAAAUUAACUUUUACCUUGUUUGAUUCUUCAUUAUUUUGGAUUAUUCUGUCACUCAAACUCACCUAAUCUCAACUAAUAAAUCUAGGCAAAGGCCAUUAUCCCACUUCCAGGUAAGAAAACUGAGGUUCAGAGGUGCUAAGUAGCCCAGAAUGCUUUUGUCCAACACCAAAGCCUUUGAGUUUUGUAUUACACUGAGUCUAAACUACCAUACAAAUUAAAAGUUUAGACAGGUCUUUAGGUAAAAUGCUGUGCAUUAUUGCUGUUCUUCAUAUCCGGAACUGAAAGAACAUAGGUUUGUCUUACAGUAAGAGGUUGGUAGACCUACCAUAUCACCUGAUCCCUAGUUAG